This 360-nucleotide ribosomal RNA is filed under the name Triticum aestivum (bread wheat). Its description in RNAcentral is "partial small subunit ribosomal RNA". Lineage: Eukaryota; Viridiplantae; Streptophyta; Magnoliopsida; Poales; Poaceae. The record is from RNAcentral.
AUGGUGGGCUGGCUGGUGGCGUGCUGUGCUCUACACGUUUUAGGUCCAAGGUCUCGAGCGGCGGCGGCGGCGGCGGCGGAGAUGAGGGCGGUGAACGGCGAGGUGGUCUCGUCGAAGCCGGUGGGCUUACACAAGGCCGCCCGCGUGUUCAGCCGCUUCGCGGCCAGAGAGGCGUCAAGGCUGCCCGCCGGGGCGGGCGUGCUGGUCCUCUGCGCGGCCGAGGCCGCCGCCGAGCUCCACGCCUUCCGCUGCGCCCGUGUGGAUCCCGAUGGCGAGGCUGAGACGGAGGUGGUGCAGGGCGGAGAUGGGCGGCGCAAGAAGAGGAGGAAGACGGGGCGCGAAGGUGUGUUACUAGAGUAG